This is a long non-coding RNA of Oreochromis aureus, 563 nucleotides long. The record is from Ensembl. NCBI's taxonomy places the organism in Eukaryota, Metazoa, Chordata, Actinopteri, Cichliformes, Cichlidae.
GGAAGCUCAAACGCAGCAGUGUGUAGCUGUAUUGUGUCCGUGAUUUAUGAACAUAUAUAAAAAGGAUUGGAGACCUGCAAAAUGCUCGUGUCAGUGUUCAUGCUGGAGUUUAACCUGUGACGUAGAGGAGCUGGUUACCAUGGAGCCUGCUGACAGGAGAAGGGGUUUCCGUCCACGGCAGCACUGAGCUCAUCUCUCCCAAAGAGAUGCUUUGAUGAGUCUUUUGCUGUCCCCAUGUCUCAGGACGCAACAAUGUCGGUGCAGCUCCGGACCUGCAGGUGUCUGUCUGAAGGCCUGAAACUCCUCCCACGCUGAUCACAGACAUCAGCAGGAGAGAGGACGAGCCCCCAGUCUGAGGACGUUCCUCCACAUGAAUGGGGGACAGGAGGCGCAGCUUCCAGCCCAGCUGGUAGGAAAGUCCUCCUCAGCUUCUCUGUAACUAUGGACUCUGCCUGUUGUCAUGCGUGCAGAUGUUUCAGUCCACAGUGAUGUCAGUCAGUGCUUUUUAAAGAUGUGCAGGGUGUAAAAUCUCCUGUUUGAUUGUUAAAUGUUCAUUCACUUUG